Non-coding RNA from Styela clava, 436 nucleotides. The record is from RefSeq and is a predicted model, not a curated record. NCBI's taxonomy places the organism in Eukaryota, Metazoa, Chordata, Ascidiacea, Stolidobranchia, Styelidae.
UGGUACCAUUGUGAAGUGACUGUGGUCGUAUGUAGAACAUUGUAUGGUGCAGGCAGGGCUACAGUUGUUUAGGUAUCAAUGGUAAAAAUGAAGUUUCACGAACAGGAAGCCUACCAGUAGUAUGGUAUGCAUGCAACGGUAGUACCGGUAGUCAUAAAUAACUUAACCUUUUAUGGUAAGAAAAUUGAACUUCAGUGUGUAACUGGAAGGCACAUGAUCAAUGAAUAAAUGGUAUUCUACAAGAUCAAGGUAGGAUUAAAUUUCAUGUGGAACUAACCACUUCAUACAGAACAUGGAAAAAGCAAAGGUACUCUGGAUCACUGGAUCAAGUCGACAGUGGAGCUGGCAAUGGCGAAGAAAGUUCUGGAUCCACUUUAAUCGGAUGAAAAGGCAGCAGAAUGUGUUCACCUUGUCUUGGAGAAUACCCGGAUCUUUU